AGUGAACGCUGGCGGUAGGCCUAACACAUGCAAGUCGAACGGCAGCACAGUAAGAGCUUGCUCUUACGGGUGGCGAGUGGCGGACGGGUGAGGAAUACAUCGGAAUCUACUUUUUCGUGGGGGAUAACGUAGGGAAACUUACGCUAAUACCGCAUACGACCUACGGGUGAAAGCAGGGGAUCUUCGGACCUUGCGCGAGUGAAUGAGCCGAUGUCGGAUUAGCUAGUUGGCGGGGUAAAGGCCCACCAAGGCGACGAUCCGUAGCUGGUCUGAGAGGAUGAUCAGCCACACUGGAGCUGAGACACGGUCCAGACUCCUACGGGAGGCAGCAGUGGGGAAUAUUGGACAAUGGGCGCAAGCCUGAUCCAGCCAUACCGCGUGGGUGAAGAAGGCCUUCUGGUUGUAAAGCCCUUUUGUUGGGAAAGAAAAGCAGCAGGUUAAUACCCCGCUGUUCUGACGGUACCCAAAGAAUAAGCACCGGCUAACUUCGUG
This 492-nucleotide ribosomal RNA is filed under the name uncultured bacterium. Its description in RNAcentral is "partial 16S ribosomal RNA". It matches the Rfam family "Bacterial small subunit ribosomal RNA", at positions 29 to 507 of the family's 1533-position model. The record is from RNAcentral.